CAGCAUAAAACUUAUAUUUGUGAGGACUCACAUAUAUAUGUAUAAUAAAUAAAAAUAAAAAUAUACAUACAUACUUACAUAUAUCUUAGCUAGUAAGGACUCUUAAAGCGAAGCGAAUCGAAGUGUUUAAUAUGUAUAAUGACACCAAACCAUUUGCUUGUAGACACAUAUACAUACAUACACAAAUGACGUGCGAAGUUGACUCCACAACAGAUUUUCACUUUUUAUUGCAAUUAAUGACUUAUUGGCGAAGAGGACGACGCAGUGGAAAAAGGAAAUAGAGUAGAAGGAAAUUCAAAAAAAAAAAAAAAAAAAAAAAAAAA
Molecule: long non-coding RNA, 323 nt
Organism: Ceratitis capitata (Mediterranean fruit fly)
Lineage: Eukaryota; Metazoa; Arthropoda; Insecta; Diptera; Tephritidae
Exons: 2
Source: RefSeq, a predicted model, not a curated record